This 512-nucleotide ribosomal RNA is filed under the name uncultured bacterium. RNAcentral describes it as "bacterial SSU rRNA". It matches the Rfam family "Bacterial small subunit ribosomal RNA", at positions 29 to 518 of the family's 1533-position model. The record is from RNAcentral.
UAUCAACGCUGGCGGCGUGCCUAACACAUGCAAGUCGUGCGCGAAAGGGGCUUCGGCCCUGAGUAGAGCGGCAAACGGGUGAGUAACGCGUGGGUGACCUACCCUUGAGUGGGGGAUAACAGUCCGAAAGGAUAGCUAAUACCGCAUGACAUCCCGUUCUUGAACGGAUGGAGAUCAAAGCCGGGGAUCGCAAGACCUGGCGCUCGAGGAGGGGCUCGCGUUCGAUUAGCUAGUUGGUGGGGUAAUGGCUCACCAAGGCGACGAUCGAUAGCCGGCCUGAGAGGGCGGACGGCCGCACUGGGACUGAGACACGGCCCAGACUCCUACGGGAGGCAGCAGUGGGGAAUUGUUCGCAAUGGGCGCAAGCCUGACGACGCAACGCCACGUGGAGGAUGAAGAUCUUCGGGUCGUAAACUCCUGUCGACCGGGACGAAAUUUCCGGGAGCUAACAUCUCCCGGGAUUGACGGUACCGGUGGAGGAAGCCCCGGCUAACUCCGUGCCAGCAGCCGAC